This 571-nucleotide long non-coding RNA is filed under the name Equus asinus (donkey). Its description in RNAcentral is "lncRNA (ENSEASG00005024032.1)". Lineage: Eukaryota; Metazoa; Chordata; Mammalia; Perissodactyla; Equidae. The record is from RNAcentral.
AUGUGGCAAAUAUUCUUAAGUGAUCUCAUUUCUCCCUUCUGCACCCGAAGGCCUCAGUCCUUCUCAACUAGCACUUCAGGUGGCCGUUACCAACGAAAUGGAUUUGUACAAAAGAUGAAAAUGAUCUUCUAUCCUCAUGAUGGAAUAUUUUCAUACACUAGAUGGGUCACGUGUGGAUGAAGGGAGUUUCUCAGUACAGAUGAGAAAACAGAUCAAAAGAAGGGGAUUUGGGCUUUGUAUCAUCAGAUUGGAAACUCUGUGAGGACAGGAACUUUGUUGACUAUUUUAUCCUCUGCACUUUGCCUGGCCCAGAGAAGUUGACCGAACUUGUCUGACGCAACAAAGUGGGUAAAGAGAAGGACAAGGAUGGAGUCAUCAAAGGAUAAACUUGAUAAGGGCAGAGCCCACAGUUCCACAUGUGAAAUCCAUGACCUGAUUGUCAAUGGGGAGAGUCUCCCCUGUGUCUGCUGGACUCCCUGAGCAUGGCGUGCUUCAGAGGACUGUCAGCAGAUUGUUGACUGCAGAAUUCAACGACCUAAAGGAGAAGAGCUUGACAAGCUUGAUGUAGCAG